Molecule: long non-coding RNA, 2578 nt
Organism: Chenopodium quinoa (quinoa)
Lineage: Eukaryota; Viridiplantae; Streptophyta; Magnoliopsida; Caryophyllales; Amaranthaceae
Exons: 4
Source: RefSeq, a predicted model, not a curated record
UAAGUGACAAAAGCAAAUUUCGUCGCUAUAAAGCGUCGAGAAUACAAGCACAUGUCACGCACGUGAAUGCAAUUAAUGCCUCGUGACUCAGCCCACAUUUUCAAUUUAAGGGGAAAAAAUUAAACCAAUAAAAAAAAUUCUGACUACUCAAGUUCUCAACCCUAACUUUUCAUCUCUCUUUCCUUCCUUCGUGACAUUCAUAGAUUUUAAAAUCUUAAUCCAGAUCUUAACUCUCCCUGUAAUUCCCCUAAUUAUUGCUGGGGAAAUUUCUCUACUCACUUUGAACUGUAAUCAAAUUUGUCAUUCUCUAUGCCGCCGUGAAUUCUAAGGUGUAUGAGUCAGACUUGACUGAACUAUUUACCUGGACUUGCUCAAGAUGUAAUGGAAUGACAAAGGGAUUUGAAAUCAGAUGUCCAGCAUUGCUUGCAGGCAUAUGUUGGGGUUGCUAAGGAUCUGAAUGCUAUUAUUGUUACAUUUAGAGGAACCCAGGAACACAGGUUACAAUUUUUUUUUAUUUAUUCAGAACUUUUUCUUUUUGAAAUUGAUACUUUUAAGGUUGGUUAUUAGUCUUAUUACGUAGAAAGUUAUAAUGUUUAGCUAAAUUGUUGGUUAUAAGUAGACCUGUUCAAUGGGUUAGGGGCCCAUUUAAAGCCCUAGUCCAGCCCUUUUAUAAAAGAGUUUUACCCAUCCAACAUUUAAAUGGGGUGGGCUUUUAAAGGGCUAUUAAAUAAUGGGUUUUUAAAGGUUUGGGUCUAAGUUAAAAAUGGCUGAAAUUGGGUAACACUUAAGAAGCUUUUUGUAUCCUAAUUUUUCUGUAUGUUUCUAAAACUUCCUAACGUCAAUUUUAAAAUUCCCUAUUUCCCCCAAAUUAUGAACCCUAAAAAAAUUCCCAGAUUAUAAUCUUCCAAAAUUCCCAAAUUAUAGCUAAUAAAUUCCUUCUUCUUGCUCGCCGCUCUUAAUCUUCAACUACCAAGGUAUGUUUUCGUGUAUUAAUUUCUAAAUUCGUUUGUUUUUAUGCCAAUUUAUGUAUUCUUGCUCGCCGCUCUCAAUAAUGUACGAAUCUAUUGAUUUUGUGCUUGAAUUUUAAAUUAUAUAAUAUUUUUUGAAGUUUGAAUGCUAAUUGAUCAUCAUCUACUCGAUUUAGUGCUUUAUUAGGUUGAUUAUGUUUUAAUCUGUUGAGUCAUCAUUCAAUUCUUUGAUGUUUUAUAUUAUUAGUUAUAUUAAGUACGUUUGUUGGUUACUUUUACAAGUUAUCAAUUGUAAUAAUUUAGUACCAUCGAUUAAUAAAGAUUGUUGCUUAUUAUUAUUGGCUUCUUUCAAUCUGACUGUAUCUAAUUAUGUGAUAAAUUGUUCUUUUGUCUAAAUCUAUUUGUUCCAAAUUUGAUUUGUGUUUUAAAUGACCUAGCACAAAAUGUAUGCAUUGAACUGCUGAAUGCGUUUGUAAGGCUAUCAUUAUCUUGUAAGACAUUAGUUUUUUCUGACUCGAAAGCAGGGAAAUUACUGUUUUCUCAUCAAAUUAAACGAAUUCCAACUUGAUUUAGCCAGACCAUUCAAUGAUUAAUCGAAUAACAUCAAACUUUUACCUACUUUUGCGUUUGUAAGGCCCUUUAUAAUUGUGUCUACUUUAUGGUUGUUUUGGAUAGUUUAUACAUUUUAAAUGGGCCUGGCCGGGCUUAAUGGCCCAUGGACAAUAUUGGCCCAUUUUGGAUUAGGCUUGGCCCGGCCUGACCCAUUUUAGAUAAAGCCCUGUCCGGCCCGACCCAUUUUAGAUAAAGCCCUGUCCGGCCCGACCCGUUGAACAGGUUUAGUUAUAAGAAAGCUUUACAUAUUUGCAAUAUUAUAUAGAAACUAACAUAUCUUAAUACAAAAUUCUCUUUGGAAAAAUGUAUAUAAGAAUUCUAUCAUAUGCUUCCCACGAGUUUAGGCUAGUCCCCAGCCUUUGAAUUUAGGUUUAGACAAACCUGGGAUUGCCCAAGUUGUGUGAACUUAGUAUAGCUUGUUACCAACUGUUAGACAUUAAACAAGGCUUGUGACAGUUUUAUGGUGCAUAACUAGGUAAGUAAUGUUGGCUAUUCCACAAGGUUACAUUUUUAUAGUGAUCGUGGUGGUUCCAAGGUCCAACAUCAUCCUGUUCUAAAGUCCCUCUUUCUUUGAUAAGGAACUCUGAUUUUCAAAAAUACCUGCUCCACUUUAUCAGUCAUAAACAAAAAAAAAAAUGAUGCUUGGUCAACUUGUACAUCUCUUUGCAUACUCUUUUGUUAAGUUAAGAACUGAGUUGAAGACUACUAUUAUCAACUAUGAAAUGAGAGGAUUACUCCAUGCAUGCUCGAUCAGUGAUUUAGUGGCUUAUAAAUUUUUUUUGUUCAUGAGUUGAUAUUUAUUUAGAUAGUAAUUAAAAAUUCCCGUGUAAGAACCAAUACAUGAAAUGGGUCUUGCUAGCUUUUUGCAAUAUGACACACCUUUGUGUAAUCAAAGAGAUUUUUCAUAUUUGUAAGAGAAAGUUAGUGUAGGGAAUAUUUCAAGCGUUAACCCUUAGCUCGAACCCCACUGUGAUCAUACACUAAAGUACGGUGGCGUC